UGUAAUGAAUUGCUGUAAAAAUUACAGCCAUAUUUUACAGCCGCUGGCUGUUUUCUAAUAAUACAGCAUUUUGCUGUAAACUGCAAUGCAUUCUGGGGCCGCGUGGCGGUUUGAUUCAAAAUACAGAAUAUUGCUGUAAAUUUCAAAUCGACACAGAGGCAUUGUGAUCUUCAACGGUCGUGUCGUCGACUUUCGGAUAGCGGCAAGAGGAGUGAUUCUCAACUGGUAAGUGACUUAUUUCAGUUUCUUAUGUUUCAUGUUGUGUUACUCGUAGACUAUGAAGGUAAUGUUAUAUUCGCGGUUCAUAUUGGUUACCGAGGAUCACGCAUCCUCCGUACGGGGCGCGAGGGAGACUUGCGCGGGGCUUCAGCAGCCCAGACGCGGGAGACACUUUGACAAGAGGACACUGGAAGGCCAAGUUGUGUGUGAGGAGAGCAUUCAGCCCAGCUUCCUGUCUGGCCUUGCUACUGUUCACUGCAUAUUAUUACAUAUUCAAUCAGGAGGAGCCAGCCUGCACCUUGGAGUUCAUAAUUAGAGAGGAACAAAGAAGAAAAUUGCCAUCUAAAAGGACAGGGCAAAUGGUACAGAAGAAACAGGUUGCAGUGAACCCACGUGUUGCCACUCUUCCCUGCAAAGUGGUGUGUUCAGUGGAAUUUCUGAAAUCCACUCUUUGCAUCCUGUGAUGGAACAGCAUCCGGAGCUGAAUUAUUCUCCAUUUUUGAUCAUACGUGUUUUGGACUCACUUGGGGCCUUGUUGUUUGGACAUGUUUGUCUGGGAACGAAGAGGUGACAAUUCAUUCAUGUCUGUUUUUUUUUUUUUUUUUUCAGAACCAUUUUAUUUUGAUCAUGUUGGUCAACUUGUUGUUUUAAAUGUCAUUUGCGUAUUUCUUCUUUGUGUGAAGGGCCCUGAUGGCUUAUUUGUUUUAAGUAAUUAAAAAAAAAAAAAUUUCAUGUCCAUUUGUAAAUAAUAAUUAAAAAAUA
Non-coding RNA from Pimephales promelas (fathead minnow), 981 nucleotides. The record is from RefSeq and is a predicted model, not a curated record. Lineage: Eukaryota; Metazoa; Chordata; Actinopteri; Cypriniformes; Leuciscidae.